AUUGAACGCUGGCGGCAGGCCUAACACAUGCAAGUCGAGCGGUAGAGAGGUGCUUGCAUCUCUUGAGAGCGGCGGACGGGUGAGUAAUGCCUAGGAAUCUGCCUAGUGGUGGGGGAUAACGUUCGGAAACGGACGCUAAUACCGCAUACGUCCUACGGGAGAAAGCGGGGGGAUCUUCGGACCUCGCGCCAUUAGAUGAGCCUAGGUCGGAUUAGCUAGUUGGUGAGGUAAUGGCUCACCAAGGCGACGAUCCGUAACUGGUCUGAGAGGAUGAUCAGUCACACUGGAACUGAGACACGGUCCAGACUCCUACGGGAGGCAGCAGUGGGGAAUAUUGGACAAUGGGCGAAAGCCUGAUCCAGCCAUGCCGCGUGUGUGAAGAAGGUC
Molecule: ribosomal RNA, 387 nt
Filed under: uncultured bacterium
Lineage: Bacteria
Description: bacterial SSU rRNA
Rfam family: Bacterial small subunit ribosomal RNA
Source: RNAcentral